This 460-nucleotide ribosomal RNA is filed under the name uncultured bacterium. RNAcentral's name for it is "partial 16S ribosomal RNA". It matches the Rfam family "Bacterial small subunit ribosomal RNA", at positions 338 to 795 of the family's 1533-position model. The record is from RNAcentral.
CCUACGGGAGGCUGCAGUGAGGAAUAUUGCUCAAUGGGCGCGAGCCUGAUCCAGCCACGUAGCGUGAAGGAUGACUGCCCUACGGGUUGUAAACGUCUUUUAUAAAGGAAUACAGUGAGGCACGUGUGCCUUUUUGUAUGUACUUUAUGAAUAAGGAUCGGCUAACUCCGUGCCAUCAGCCGCGGUAAUACGGAGGAUCCGAGCGUUAUCCGGAUUUAUUGGGUUUAAAGGGAGCGUAGAUGGGUUGUUAAGUCAGUUGUGAAAGUUUGCGGCUCAACCGUAAAAUUGCAAUUGAUACUGGCAGUCUUGAGUACAGUUGAGGUAGGCGGAAUUCGUGGUGUAGCGGUGAAAUGCUUAGAUAUCACGAAGAACUCCGAUUGCGAAGGCAGCUUACUAAACUGCCACUGACAUUGAUGCUCGAAAGUGUGGGUAGCAAACAGGAUUAGAUACCCUUGUAGUC